AGAACGUCGUGAGACAGUUCGGUCUCUAUCCGCCGCGCGCGUGGAAACUUGAUGGAAGGCUGUCCCUAGUACGAGAGGACCGGGACGGACGAACCUCUGGUGUGCCAGUUGUUCCGCCAGGAGCAUUGCUGGUUGGCUACGUACGGGAGGGAUAACCGCUGAAAGCAUCUAAGCGGGAAGCCUGUUUUAAGAUGAGGUUUCAUUUGAGGUUCCCAGGAGACUACUGGGUUGAUAGGCCGGACCUGGAAG
This 249-nucleotide ribosomal RNA is filed under the name Scrippsiella hangoei. RNAcentral's name for it is "partial Bacterial large subunit ribosomal RNA". It matches the Rfam family "Bacterial large subunit ribosomal RNA", at positions 2613 to 2873 of the family's 2925-position model. Lineage: Eukaryota; Dinophyceae; Peridiniales; Peridiniaceae. The record is from RNAcentral.